RNAcentral lists this ribosomal RNA (253 nucleotides) under uncultured bacterium. RNAcentral's name for it is "partial 16S ribosomal RNA". It matches the Rfam family "Bacterial small subunit ribosomal RNA", at positions 524 to 776 of the family's 1533-position model. The record is from RNAcentral.
UACGUAGGGACCAAGCGUUGUUCGGAUUUACUGGGCGUAAAGGGCGCGUAGGCGGCGCGGUAAGUCACUUGUGAAAUCUCUGAGCUUAACUCAGAACGGCCAAGUGAUACUGCAGUGCCAGAGUGUGGAAGGGGCAAUCGGAAUUCUUGGUGUAGCGGUGAAAUGCGUAGAUAUCAAGAGGAACACCUGAGGUGAAGACGGGUUGCUGGGCCAACACUGACGCUGAGGCGCGAAAGCCAGGGGAGCAAACGGG